GGGCACUCUAAGUUGACUGCCGGUGACAAACCGGAGGAAGGUGGGGAUGACGUCAAAUCAUCAUGCCCCUUAUGAUUUGGGCUACACACGUGCUACAAUGGACAAUACAAAGGGCAGCGAAACCGCGAGGUCAAGCAAAUCCCAUAAAGUUGUUCUCAGUUCGGAUUGUAGUCUGCAACUCGACUACAUGAAGCUGGAAUCGCUAGUAAUCGUAGAUCAGCAUGCUACGGUGAAUACGUUCCCGGGUCUUGUACACACCGCCCGUCACACCACGAGAGUUUGUAACACCCG
RNAcentral lists this ribosomal RNA (291 nucleotides) under Staphylococcus pseudintermedius. Its description in RNAcentral is "partial 16S ribosomal RNA". It matches the Rfam family "Bacterial small subunit ribosomal RNA", at positions 1133 to 1423 of the family's 1533-position model. Lineage: Bacteria; Bacillati; Bacillota; Bacilli; Caryophanales; Staphylococcaceae. The record is from RNAcentral.